UCAAGUUCAAUCUUAUUAAAUAUUCAAGAUAUAUUUAUUUUUAUCUAGAAAGUAGAAAGUAGUUGAGAUAUUUUACUGUCAGCAGUAAAUAAUAGAGAAGAAAAAAAGAAAAAAAAUGAGACUAGUAUAAUUCAAUAAUUGGAAGUGGAAGCGAGAGGCGAAGGCAUGUGCGUGCAUCUGAGGCAAGCACAUGAGCUCCACAAAACAACUGUCCGUAGCUUGCGGCAACAAGCCGCCUCCCUUC
This 244-nucleotide long non-coding RNA is filed under the name Salvia miltiorrhiza (redroot sage). Its description in RNAcentral is "long non-coding RNA (SMIL_LNC012328)". Lineage: Eukaryota; Viridiplantae; Streptophyta; Magnoliopsida; Lamiales; Lamiaceae. The record is from RNAcentral.